This 105-nucleotide ribosomal RNA is filed under the name Otolemur garnettii (small-eared galago). Lineage: Eukaryota; Metazoa; Chordata; Mammalia; Primates; Galagidae. The record is from RNAcentral.
GUCUAUGGCCAUAUCACCCUGAACGCACUUGAUAUCGUCUAAUCUCAGAAGCUAAGCAGGGUCAGGCCUGGAUAGUACUUGGAUGGGAAGAACAUACCAUGCUCA